RNAcentral lists this long non-coding RNA (1208 nucleotides) under Castor canadensis (American beaver). Its description in RNAcentral is "lncRNA (ENSCCNG00000030706.1)". Lineage: Eukaryota; Metazoa; Chordata; Mammalia; Rodentia; Castoridae. The record is from RNAcentral.
CUUCCCCGCCCCGAGCCGACGCGCCGGGAGGCGGCGGCCCUGGUGGCUGCUGCUGCUGCUGCUGCUGCAGUGGGGCAGGUGGCGGUGGCUGACAGACGGCGGCGUCCGAGGCGGUGAGCGGCGUGGCGGGCCUGGCCCCUUCCUCACCCUCCGCCCUUCCCGCUCCCGCGGCCGCUCGAGCGCCCCGAGCCUCGCGCGCCGGCCCGAGCCCUCUGCAGCGGACCCGGAACCCGCGGUGGCCGACGCUGAGGCCAGGGUCCCCGAGGUUAAGACCGUGUCUGGCCCAUUUGGAGCUCUGUAAGUAUCUGUGCUGUGCCUGCUGCUGCUUUUAUGGUUAUUAUUCUGGGAUUUUAUUAUUGCUACUGUGACCAAUAGGGGCUCUGAGUCAGGAGAGUGGUGUGUUUGACUUCUGGUUUUAAUGAUGACCUUUUGCAAGAAUUUGUAGGUAUGUUGUGCCCUCAGCUUUGAGGCAUUUUUUUCUUCCCCCUCUGGGAAUAAUAACAAUUAACGUUUAUUGAGGGCUUCCUGGGGCUAGGCUCAGGGCAGGUGUUGUAUGUGUUUUAUCUCAUUUAUCAACCCAGCCCAAUGACAGUGCUGUCAUUAUUCCCAUUUUACAGAGAGGGCAUAGAAAGGUCAAGUAACUUUAGAGUCCCGCAGCUAAUAAGUGAUGUUGGUAGAAUUGGUACCCAGGUCUUCUGAUGCUAGGUGUUCAGUGAUUUUGUUAGUAUGGUGAAUUUCUGGCAAAAAGAAAGGCUGGCUUUUACUAAAACAAAGGAAGUGAGGGCUUGGUCAAGGGCUUAUGCUCAGUUUUUGAGGUUCAGAGAAAGGGGUUAAGCACAUCUUAGGCUUCCUAGUAGGCUUAGUGUAGAGGGGUGAAAACUAAAGCUGAAACUGGGUGUGAGGCUGCAUAGGUGUCUGUGAGGAUCAGGAUUAUGUCCUUCUGUACUCUUGCAGUCAUCUCAUGAGCUCACCGUGAGCCCCCUGGUUCCUGUGUUACCAACUUUAGUGUUUGAUUGAUGCUUAUCUUAUUUACCUUUUUGUUUUGGUGGUACUGGGAUUUGAACUCAGGAACUCAGUGCUUGUUGGGCAGGUGCUUUACCACUUGAGCCAUUCUGCCAGCCCUUUCCUUGUUAAUUUUAACCAUUAUGUAUCACUGAGUUUGUCAUAUAGAAGGAUGACCCAUAAUGUAUGUGGGUCUUGGUUUUGCU